AUUUUCGGGGCAGGGUGAAAUUCCCUACCGGCAGUUAAAGUCUGCGAGCCUUAUUGGUUGAGCCUGUGAAACUCAGGCACCGACGGUUAAAGUCCGGAUGAGAGAAAAUG
Molecule: non-coding RNA, 110 nt
Filed under: human gut metagenome
Description: FMN riboswitch (RFN element)
Rfam family: FMN riboswitch aptamer (RFN element)
About the family: The RFN element is a highly conserved domain that is found frequently in the 5'-untranslated regions of prokaryotic mRNAs that encode for flavin mononucleotide (FMN) biosynthesis and transport proteins. This element is a metabolite-dependent riboswitch that directly binds FMN in the absence of proteins. In Bacillus subtilis, the riboswitch most likely controls gene expression by causing premature transcription termination within the 5' untranslated region of the ribDEAHT operon and precluding access to the ribosome-binding site of ypaA mRNA.
Source: RNAcentral